UACGUAGGGUGCGAGCGUUAAUCGGAAUUACUGGGCGUAAAGCGUGCGCAGGCGGUUUUGUAAGCCAGAUGUGAAAUCCCCGGGCUUAACCUGGGAAUGGCAUUUGGGACUGCAAGGCUGGAGUUUGGCAGAGGAGACUGGAAUUCCUGGUGUAGCAGUGAAAUGCGUAGAGAUGCGGAGGAACACCGAUGGCGAAGGCAGCCCCCUGGGCUAACACUGACGCUCAGGCACGAAAGCGUGGGGAGCAAACAGG
RNAcentral lists this ribosomal RNA (253 nucleotides) under uncultured bacterium. RNAcentral describes it as "partial 16S ribosomal RNA". It matches the Rfam family "Bacterial small subunit ribosomal RNA", at positions 524 to 776 of the family's 1533-position model. The record is from RNAcentral.